CCGGGCUCUGAUAUCAUAUUAAAAUUUGUGGCCUAUUUUAAUAAGGUCAACCUUGUUAAGAUGAGUAGUCCAAAAUCUUUUAAGUUGGUCAAUAUUUCUGUAUUUAACCGAUGUGAAAUUUUUAUCCCUUAACAGACGGAACCAGUUAUGUGAAGUGAGCUACAGUAAUCGAAGUGCGUGACGAGCAGCUCGUGCCGGGUGUACAUUGCUUCCUUCAUCAAACGGUGCUAGAAUCUAGUGAAAGGUUGAUCUCAAUCACAUUCCUGCUAUGGGUCUUACUGGGGCUGCAAGCACAAUCAAAUGUUGAUCUCAAUCACAUUCCUCGCCCUAUCCCAAGUUCUGUUGUGAUUCUACAUGAGACCCGUCAAGGCUAUCAGGCAACCUCUCCGAUAAUUUGUCUCCCCAUUUCCUGAAAAAUAUAGCUUCACUUGCAAUGUUGAUGUUGUAUUAAAAUAACAUGUUUGGUCAGAUUUUUUUACUUUCGUUAUACAAAGCGAAGUAGCGCAAAUUAUUUAGUUCCAGAAAAUGAGUCUAUAAUCAUGUCAAAGGCUUAAGAUAGUCUCAAACAGUUGUUCAUUUUUCUGGUUUUUUAUUUUACUUGCUAUUUUUCUCCCAUGUGAAGCCCGCAACAAGUGAUUAUAUUGUCAAAGACACUGGGAAUUGUAAUCCACAAUUUAUGAGUUGUACAAUUAAUCAGGACUGGAAAUAUUUUGAUAAAAGAAAGCAAAUGGUUUCUUGACAAGAUCACAAAGUGCCAUCACGGACUUCAUGAUGAAAUUUAAGGCUUCACCAAAUGAGAUCCCUGAAGACACUUGUUACACUUACCACAUGCAUUGAGAGAGAUCUUUGUCCAAACUCUAACUUAUUCAUUAUAAGUGGCUAUGGAAGGUUAAGCAACCAAACAAGGAAGAGAUUGAUUCAACAUCAAUGGCAGAUAUAUUCAAUUUUCAAUUACCGAAUUUUGUUUUGUGACUGGGCUAUGAUAUGUUGGAAUAGAUGAUUGAACAACCAUCUAAAAUGAGAGGGGAAAUUAAAGACAGAUGAUUGAAUGAUUGUUAAUAGAAUUACUUUGAAAAUUAUUUUUCAUUCAUGAUGUUUUAGGUAGAUGUUGUCUUUAUAUGAAUUCAAUUUGUUUGUAUGUAUGAAUGAUUAUUUUUCA
Molecule: long non-coding RNA, 1159 nt
Organism: Olea europaea var. sylvestris
Lineage: Eukaryota; Viridiplantae; Streptophyta; Magnoliopsida; Lamiales; Oleaceae
Exons: 2
Source: RefSeq, a predicted model, not a curated record